This is a long non-coding RNA of Oreochromis niloticus (Nile tilapia), 987 nucleotides long. RefSeq lists it as uncharacterized. The record is from RefSeq and is a predicted model, not a curated record. The transcript has 3 exons. NCBI's taxonomy places the organism in Eukaryota, Metazoa, Chordata, Actinopteri, Cichliformes, Cichlidae.
UUGAGCUCCGGUUUCCACCCGCAAUCCAGUGGUCAGACUGAGUGGCUUAACCAGGAGCUGGAGGCUGCGCUACGAUGCGUAGCGUCCCAAAACCCCACCUCCUGGGUCACCUAUUUACCCUGGGUGGAAUAUGCUCAUAACUCAUAACCCGGAAACUAGCCCCCCACUUCAUUGGCCAGUAUGAAAUUGGUACAGUCAUCAAUCCAGCGGUGGUUCGGCUCAAGCUCCCCAUUUCCUGGCGCAUACAUCCCACGUUCUACGUUUCCCAGAUUAAACCUGUCCGCCAGAGCCCGUUGUGCCCUCUGUCCGAGCCCCCUCCUCCAGUCCGGCUUAUCGACGAUCAUCCGGCCUAUACGGUCCGACGGAUCGUGGAUGCGCACCGGCGCGGGCGGGGGUGGCAGUACCUGGUGGACUGGGAGGGGUACGGUCCUGAGAACCGUCUCUGGGUUCCACGGUCCUCCAUUCUGGACCCGUCUCUCAUCGCUGACUUCCGCGCUUUUCUCUGCAGGCAGCAGUCCGGUCGGUCGCCAGGGGGCAACCCUUGAGGGGGGGUACUGUCAUGGUCCGUGGUCCUGUGUCUGAGGAGUGUGUGUGUGUGUGUGUGGGAUGCCCUGGAGGCCACACCCCCGGGCUCGGCCAUCACCUGCACACCUGCUUUACAUCCGGGGCGAUUACCCCACGUUGAUGGAUGCUCCAUGCCAGUCCGUUAAUCACCUCUCUGUGAUUACAAUCCAGCAUCCUGCAUCUGCCACCUGCCUGUCCUCCUGCUCGCCUGGACCACCCGGUGCAUCAGCUGGCCUUAUUCCUGACUCCGAUUCACUUUCCACGGACUCACUCACCCCCCUUCCGAGUCCCACGGUCCCUCUCCGAUCCCUCCCACGGUCCCGAUUCCAGCUUCCCUGCGUCAUUUAUUUCCCCGGGUUUUCUUCAGUUCCUCGCUUGCUUCUUUAAUUACUCCGGGUCACCUUUUGUUAAUAUAAUAAACCG